Molecule: ribosomal RNA, 334 nt
Filed under: uncultured eukaryote
Lineage: Eukaryota
Description: partial 18S ribosomal RNA
Rfam family: Eukaryotic small subunit ribosomal RNA
Source: RNAcentral
CCCUUAGAUGUCCGGGGCCGCACGCGCGCUACACUGAAGGAAUCAGCGUGGCUUUCUCCCUGACCCGAAAGGGUUGGGAAACCCGUUGAAUCUCCUUCGUGAUAGGGAUUGGGGCUUGAAAUUGUUCCCCAUGAACGAGGAAUUCCCAGUAAGCGCGAGUCAUAAGCUCGCGUUGAUUACGUCCCUGCCCUUUGUACACACCGCCCGUCGCUACUGCCAACUGAGAUGGGUCCUGAAUUGUUAGGAACGCCCGUCAAGGGGCCUACCCGGUCCCUAGUGCGGUGACGAGAAGAACUGUAAAUGGCAUAUCUUGUAGGGAGUAAAAGUCGUAACA